Molecule: small nucleolar RNA, 70 nt
Organism: Rosa rugosa (rugosa rose)
Lineage: Eukaryota; Viridiplantae; Streptophyta; Magnoliopsida; Rosales; Rosaceae
Product: small nucleolar RNA snoR60
Exons: 1
Source: RefSeq, a predicted model, not a curated record
UGGCGUGUGACGAGUUACUCGGGUUCCCCUUCAAGACCUUUGGGUGAUGCAAAACCGAGUCUCUGAUGCU